Molecule: ribosomal RNA, 400 nt
Filed under: uncultured bacterium
Lineage: Bacteria
Description: bacterial SSU rRNA
Rfam family: Bacterial small subunit ribosomal RNA
Source: RNAcentral
AGUGAACGCUGGCGGCAGGCCUAACACAUGCAAGUCGAGCGGCAGCGCGUCCGACCACCCUCGGGUGGUCGGAUGGCGGCGAGCGGCGGACGGGUGAGGAAUGCAUCGGAAUCUGCCUCGUUGUGGGGGAUAACGUAGGGAAACUUACGCUAAUACCGCAUACGACCUACGGGUGAAAGUGGGGGACCUUCGGGCCUCACGCGAUGAGAUGAGCCGAUGCCGGAUUAGCUAGUUGGCGGGGUAAAGGCCCACCAAGGCGACGAUUCGUAGCUGGUCUGAGAGGAUGAUCAGCCACACUGGAACUGAGACACGGUCCAGACUCCUACGGGAGGCAGCAGUGGGGAAUAUUGGACAAUGGGGGCAACCCUGAUCCAGCCAUGCCGCGUGUGUGAAGAAGGCC